GCGGGAUUAGUUCACCGGUAGAAUGACUCCCUUCCAAGGAGUAGAAGAGGGUUCGAUUCCCUUAUCCCGCUCCA
This 74-nucleotide transfer RNA is filed under the name Candidatus Cerribacteria bacterium 'Amazon FNV 2010 28 9'. RNAcentral's name for it is "tRNA-Gly". It matches the Rfam family "tRNA". From Rfam's summary of the family: Transfer RNA (tRNA) molecules are approximately 80 nucleotides in length. The record is from RNAcentral. Lineage: Bacteria; Candidatus Cerribacteria.